GACGUAGGGGGCAAGCGUUGUUCGGAAUUAUUGGGCGUAAAGUGCUCGUAGGCGGGACUGGAAGUCCGUGUUGAAAGACCUCGGCUCAACUGAGGGACCGGCUCGGAUACUCUAGUUCUUGAGGCAAUCAGAGGGUGAUGGAAUUCCCGGUGUAGCGGCGAAAUGCGUAGAUAUCGGGAGGAACACCGGUGGUGUAAACGGCUUUCUGGACCAUAACUGACGCUGAGGCACGAAAGCGUGGGUAGCAAACAGG
This 253-nucleotide ribosomal RNA is filed under the name uncultured bacterium. Its description in RNAcentral is "partial 16S ribosomal RNA". It matches the Rfam family "Bacterial small subunit ribosomal RNA", at positions 524 to 776 of the family's 1533-position model. The record is from RNAcentral.